Long non-coding RNA from Hypanus sabinus (Atlantic stingray), 5565 nucleotides. RefSeq lists it as uncharacterized. The transcript has 2 exons. NCBI's taxonomy places the organism in Eukaryota, Metazoa, Chordata, Chondrichthyes, Myliobatiformes, Dasyatidae. The record is from RefSeq and is a predicted model, not a curated record.
GGACCAAAGCACCAUUUCCGUUUAAUUCUGCCAUGGACGGUCCCAAGCCCCGUGGGAAACGAGGAGGGUUGGCCAUGGGGGCUAGCAGCCCCACCCCGUAAAAACCCAGAGAGGAAGAAUACACUGCCUUAGGAUAAAGGGACGUUCAUUUGGAACAGAGGAGAGGAGGAAUUUCUUUAGCCAGAGGGUGGUGAAUCUGAGGAAUUUGUUGCCACAGGUGGCUGUGGAGGCCAAGUCAUUGGGUAUAUUUAAGGCUAUCGAUUCUCGAUAGCCAGGGCAUGGAAGGUUACGGGGAGAGGGCAGGAGAUUGGGGUUGAGAGGGAAAUGGUGGAACAGUCUCGAUGGGCCAAAUGGCCUAAUUCUGCUCCAGUAUCUUAAGGUCUUAAUAACUUAUCAGUGCUCUGCAUGCAUGUACAACAGAGGUCAGUACAGCAUUGAUGCAGGCAGAAUGUCUCAUAAUGCCAAUCUAAGUUAAUCUCAUCUGCCUGCACGUGGUACAGGUGCCUGCACUUGCUGUCUGUCUCACCACUGACCCUGCUCCUGUCAGCACCCCAGGCACCCACCACUCAGUGGAAUAAAAGUUUGUUCUGGAAGUUUCCUUUAAACCUCCUCCCUACCCUAAAUCCAUACACCAAGACCACAGGAUACGGGAGCAGAAUUAGACCAUUCGGCCCAUUACUUCUGCUCCACCGUUCCACCAUGGCUGACUUAUUAGCCCUCUCAACUCCAUUCUCCCUGUAUCCUUUGACCUGCCCUGCUAAUUAAGAACUUGGCAAUGAAUUCCACAGAUUCAUCACCCUCUGGCCAAAGAAAUUCCUUCUCAUCUCCAUUGUAAUCGGACGUCCCUCUACUCCAGGUGCCUGGCAUAAAAAAGAGGGUUGGGGACCCCUACUCUAUUCUGAGUCUGUGCCCUCUGGUCACAGACUCCCCCACUAUAGGAAACAUCCUCUCCACAUCCACUCUAUCUGUGUCCUCUGGUCCUAGACUACCCCACACUAUAGGAAACAUCCUCUCCACAUCCACUCUAUCUGUGUCCUCUGGUCCUAGACUCACCCACUAUAGGAAACAUCCUCUCCACAUCCACUCUAUCUGUGUCCUCUGGUCCUAGACUCCCCCACUAUAGGAAACAUCCUCUCCACAUCCACUCUAUCUGUGUCCUCUGGUCCUAGACUCCAUCACUGUAGGAAACAUCUUCUCCACAUCCACUCUAUCUGUGUCCUAUGGUCCUAAACUUCCCCACUAUAGGAAACAUCCUCUCUACGUCCACUCUAUCUGUGUCCUCUGGUCCUAGACUCCCCCACUAUAGGAAACAUCCUCUCCACAUCCACUCUAUCUUUGUCCUCUGGUCCUGGAAACCCCACUGUAUGAAACAUCCUCUCCGCAUCCACUCUAUCUGUGUCCUCUGGUCCUAGACUCCCUCACUGUAGGAAACAUCCUCUCCACAUCCACUCUAUCUGUGUCCUCUGGUCCUAGACUCCACCACUAUAGGAAACAUCCUCUCCACAUCCACUCUAUCUGUGUCCUCUGGUCCUAGACUCCCCCACUAUAGGAAACAUCCUCUCCACAUCCACUCUAUCUGUGCCCUCUGGUCCUAGACUCCCCCACUAUAGGAAACAUCCUCUCUACAUCCACUCUAUCUGUGCCCUCUGGUCCUAGACUCCCCCACUAUAGGAAACAUCCUCUCCACAUCCACUCUAUCUGUGCCCUCUGGUCCUAGACUCCCCCACCAUAGGAAACAUCCUCUCCACAUCCACUCUAUCUUUGUCCUCUGGUCCUAGACUCCCCCACUAUAGGAAAUAUCCUCUCCACAUCCACUCUAUCUGUGUCCUCUGGUCCUAGACUCCCCCACCAUAGGAAACAUCCUCUCCACAUCCACUCUAUCUUUGUCCUCUGGUCCUAGACUCCCCCACUAUAGGAAAUAUCCUCUCCACAUCCACUCUAUCUGUGUCCUCUGGUCCUAGACUCCCCCACUAUGGGAAACAUCUUCUCCACAUCUACUCUAUCUGUGUCCUCUGGUCCUAGACUCCCCCACUAUGGGAAACAUCCUCUCCACAUCCACUCUAUCUGUGUCCUCUGGUCCUAGACUCCCCCACUAUAGGAAACAUCCUCUCCACAUCCACUCUAUCUGUGUCCUCUGGUCCUAGACUCCCCCACUAUAGGAAACAUCCUCUCCACAUCCACUCUAUCUGUGUCCUCUGGUCUUAGGAUCCCCCACUACAGGAAACAUUCUCUCCACAUCCACUCUAUCUGUGUCCUCUGGUCCUAGACUCCCCCACUAUAGGAAACAUCCUCUCCACAUCCACUCUAUCUGUGUCCUCUGGUCCUAGACUCCCCCACUAUAGGAAACAUCCUCUCCACAUCCACUCUAUCUGUGUCCUCUGGUCUUAGACUCGAUCACUACAGGAAGCAUCCUCUCCACAUCCACGCUUCCUAGGUCUUUCAAUGUUUGGUUCGUUUCGUUGAUAUUCCCCCUCACUCUUCUAAACUCUAGCAAAUACAGGCCCAGGGCCAUCUAAUACCCGUCCAGCCUGGAAGGAAGAGCCACACCAUCUACUCUGUCUAUACUCCUCACAAACCUCAAUCAGAUCUCCCCUGAGACUCCAACAGUCCAGAGAAAACAAUUCAAGUUUGUGUAACCUCUUCUUAUAGAUCAGACGCUCUAAUCACCUGGAACUUUUCUGAAUGCUCUCCAUAGCCUCCCCAUCCUUCCCGUAAAGAAACUACUUAGCGAUUCUAUUUAUUUGCUCACUUGUGAAAGUCUGCGAGAAAAUGACAGAUAUGGUGACAUAUACGUAACUUCGAUGAUAAAUUUAUUCUCAACUUUAUUGUCUCCAAUAUUGAAAGGCCCAGAUUGAGUUGUGGAUGGUGGGGUGGAGAUAGGUCCCUACCAGAGGAAGUGUGAAGUGCUCCUUCCCUCUGCUGUCCUGCAGGUCACCCCUGGGCAAGGUGAGGCAUCUGCUUAGCCCCACAGUCAGGAUCACGUGAAACUAUGGGAGCAGGUGGUGGAACAGCCUGUACAUAUCCUGUCCCGGCUAUGAGACCAGGCAGACAAUCUCUGAAGAGUAUUGAUAAUGGCUGGGGUCACCCAUCUUGUAAAGACACUGCCCAGAAGAAGACAAUGGCAAACCACUUCUGUUGGAAAAUUUGCCAAGGACAAUCAUGAUCACAGACAGUAAGACACGGCACAUAAUGGUGAUGAUGCUGAGAUCGAGUGGAUAUGGCGAGGAUGAUUCUUAUGCUGGUGGAGUCUAGGACCUGAGGAUAUAACCUCCGAAUAGAGGGACGUCCACUGAGAACAGACAUGAGGAGCAACUUCUUCAGCCAGAGGUUGGUGAAUCUGUGGAAUUCGUUGUCACAGACGGCUGUGGAGGCCAAAUCAUUGGGUAUAUUUAAAGUGGAGGUUGCUAGGUUCUUGAUUAGUCAGGGUGUGAAAGGUUACGGAGAGAGGGCAGGAGAAUGGGGGUGAGAGGGACCGUAAAUCAGCCACAAUGGAAUGGUGGAGCAGGCUUGAUGGGUCGAAUGGUCGCAUUCUGCUCCUACGUCAUAAGGAUUCCUAACACAAUGAUACAGUAGAUACUCUCUCUGCCUCACUACUCCAGGGACCUUGGGAUGCUGUCUGUGUGGAGUUUGCAAGUUCUCAGAGAGAGAGAGAGUGUAAGUCAAAGUGGGAAGCAGUGAGGCAGGAAGAGUGAAGCUGUGUUUGGAGAAGCAGCUGAACCUGUGCUCCUAUUCUGAUACGUCCCUCCACAGCUGAAGUUUCUGUUCAGAGGUCCCUGUGUGACUCUCUGGGGAACAGACUUUAACCUACCUCUUGUCAACCAGCUAGUUUCUUCCUCUCUUUGUUGUGCCUACAAUCUCCCAUCAAUUAAUUUUUUCUAUGUUUGUGCAGAUUUGGCAUGUCAGCUGAAACUCUGACAAAUUUCUAGCGAUGUACGGUGGACCGACUGCAUUGUGGCUGGUAUGGGAAAAUCAAUGCUCAGGAUAAGAACAGCCUUCAAAAGGUAGUGGAUACGGCCCAGUCCAUCAUAGGAAAAGUCACCCCCACCACUCAGCACAUCUACACACAGCUCAAUCAUAAGAAAGGACCCCCACCACCCAGGCCAUGCUCUCUUCUCAGUACUAUCAUCGGGCAGGAGGUAUAGAAGCCUUAGGUCCCACACCACCAGGUUCAGGAACAGUUAUUACCCCUCAACCAUCAGGAUCCUGAACCGGUGUGGAUAACUUCACUCACCACAACUCUGAACUGAGCCUAGGGUCCCACACCACCAGGUUCAGGAACAGUUAUUACCCCUCAACCAUCAGACUCCUGAACCAGUGUGGAUAACUUCACUCACCUCAACUCUGAACUGAGCCUAGGGUCCCACACCACCAGGUUCAGGAACAGUUAUUACCCCUCAACCAUCAGGCUCCUGAACCAGUGUGGAUAACUUCACUCACCUCAACUCUGAACUGAGCCUAGGGUCCCACACCAUCAGGUUCAGGAACAGUUAUUACCCCUCAACCAUCAGGAUCCUGAACCGGUGUGGAUAACUUCACUCACCUCAACUCUGAACUGAGCCUAGGGUCCCACACCACCAGGUUCAGGAACAGUUAUUACCCCUCAACCAUCAGGAUCCUGAACCGGUGUGGAUAACUUCACUCACCACAACUCUGAACUGAGCCUAGGGUCCCACACCACCAGGUUCAGGAACAGUUAUUACCCCUCAACCAUCAGGCUCCUGAACCAGUGUGGAUAACUUCACUCACCACAACUCUGAACUGAGCCUAGGGUCCCACACCACCAGGUUCAGGAACAGUUAUUACCCCUCAACCAUCAGGAUCCUGAACCGGUGUGGAUAACUUCACUCACCACAACUCUGAACUGAGCCUAGGGUCCCACACCACCAGGUUCAGGAACAGUUAUUACCCCUCAACCAUCAGGAUCCUGAACCGGUGUGGAUAACUUCACUCACCACAACUCUGAACUGAGCCUAGGGUCCCACACCACUAGGUUCAGGAACAGUUAUUACCCCUCAACCAUCAGGAUCCUGAACCGGUGUGGAUAACUUCACUCACCACAACUCUGAACUGAGCCUAGGGUCCCACACCACCAGGUUCAGGAACAGUUAUUACCCCUCAACCAUCAGGCUCCUGAACUAGUGUGGAUAACUUCACUCACCUCAACUCUGAACUGAGCCUAGGGUCCCACACCACCAGGUUCAGGAACAGUUAUUACCCUACAACCAUCAGGCUCCUGAACUAGUGUGGAUAACUUCACUAACCUCAACUCUGAACUGAGCCUAGGGUCCCACACCACCAGGUUCAGGAACAGGUAUUACCCUACAACCAUCAGGCUCCUGAACCAGUGUGGAUAACUUCACUCACCUCAACUCUGAACUGAGCCUAGGGUCCCACACCACCAGGUUCAGGAACAGUUAUCACCCCUCAACCAUCAGGCUCCUGAACCGGUGUGGAUAACUUCACUCACCUCAACUCUGAACUGAGCCUAGGGUCCCACACCACCAGGUUCAGGAACAGUUAUUACCCCUCAACCAUCAGGAUCCUGAACCGGUGUGGAUAACUUCA